RNAcentral lists this ribosomal RNA (254 nucleotides) under uncultured bacterium. RNAcentral describes it as "partial 16S ribosomal RNA". It matches the Rfam family "Bacterial small subunit ribosomal RNA", at positions 524 to 776 of the family's 1533-position model. The record is from RNAcentral.
UACGUAGGGGGCUAGCGUUGUCCGGAUUUAUUGGGCGUAAAGAGCUCGUAGGCGGUUGGGUAAGUCGGGUGUGAAAACUCCAGGCUCAACUUGGAGAUGCCACCCGAUACUGCUCUGACUUGAGUUCGGUAGGGGAGUGGGGAAUUCCUGGUGUAGCGGUGAAAUGCGCAGAUAUCAGGAGGAACACCGGUGGCGAAGGCGCCACUCUGGGCCGAAACUGACGCUGAGGAGCGAAAGCGUGGGUAGCAAACAGG